RNAcentral lists this ribosomal RNA (451 nucleotides) under uncultured bacterium. RNAcentral's name for it is "partial small subunit ribosomal RNA". It matches the Rfam family "Bacterial small subunit ribosomal RNA", at positions 26 to 518 of the family's 1533-position model. The record is from RNAcentral.
AGAACGAACGCUGGCGGCAGGCCUAAUACAUGCAAGUCGAACGCACUCUUCGGAGUGAGUGGCAGACGGGUGAGUAACGCGUGGGAACCUUCCCAAUGGUACGGAAUAACUCCGGGAAACCGGUGCUAAUACCGUAUAAGCCCCUCGGGGGAAAGAUUUAUCGCCAUUGGAUGGGCCCGCGUCGGAUUAGCUAGUUGGUAAGGUAAUGGCUUACCAAGGCUACGAUCCGUAGCUGGUCUGAGAGGAUGAUCAGCCACACUGGGACUGAGACACGGCCCAGACUCCUACGGGAGGCAGCAGUAGGGAAUCUUGGACAAUGGGCGAAAGCCUGAUCCAGCCAUGCCGCGUGGAUGAUGAAGGCCUUAGGGUUGUAAACCGCUUUCAGUUCCGACGAAGGUAACCUGACGGUAGGAACAGAAGAAGGACCGGCCAACUACGUGCCAGCAGCCGC